AUUAAUGAGAAUUUUUUUCAGACCACCUCAGACCACAUUAGCUCUUCGAAGUUAAGCAAGGUCAGGCCUGGUCAGCACCUGAAUGGAAAACCUUCAGGGAAAUCAUGCUUCAGAAGGU
This 118-nucleotide ribosomal RNA is filed under the name Chrysemys picta bellii (western painted turtle). Lineage: Eukaryota; Metazoa; Chordata; Testudines; Emydidae. The record is from RNAcentral.